This 268-nucleotide unclassified non-coding RNA is filed under the name uncultured fungus. RNAcentral describes it as "sequence contains ITS1, 5.8S rRNA gene". The stretch from base 220 to 268 matches the Rfam family "5.8S ribosomal RNA", at positions 1 to 49 of the family's 154-position model. The record is from RNAcentral. Lineage: Eukaryota; Fungi.
UCUCCGUUGGUGAACCAGCGGAGGGAUCAUUACAGAGUUAUCUAACUCUCAAUCCCAUGUGAACUUACCAUUUGUUGCCUUGGCAGAGCCUACUCGGUAACUGUUCGGAGAAGCUACCCUGUAGCUACCCUGUAACGGCCUACCCUGUAACGCACUGCCGGUGGACUUUUAAACUCUUGUUAUUUUAUGUAAUCUGCACGUCUUAUUUUAAUAAGUCAAAACUUUCAACAACGGAUCUCUUGGUUCUGGCAUCGAUGAAGAACGCAGC